UACGGGGGGGGCAAGCGUUGUUCGGAAUUACUGGGCGUAAAGGGCUCGUAGGCGGCCAACUAAGUCCGACGUGAAAUCCCCAAGCUUAACUUGGGAACUGCGUCGGAUACUGGAUGGCUUGAAUUCGGGAGAGGGAUGCAGAAUUCCAGGUGUAGCGGUGAAAUGCGUAGAUAUCUGGAGGAACACCGGUGGCGAAGGCGGCAUCCUGGACCAAUACUGACACUGAGGAGCGAAAGCCAGGGGAGCAAACGGG
RNAcentral lists this ribosomal RNA (253 nucleotides) under uncultured bacterium. RNAcentral's name for it is "partial 16S ribosomal RNA". It matches the Rfam family "Bacterial small subunit ribosomal RNA", at positions 524 to 776 of the family's 1533-position model. The record is from RNAcentral.